RNAcentral lists this ribosomal RNA (698 nucleotides) under uncultured Bacillota bacterium. RNAcentral describes it as "bacterial SSU rRNA". It matches the Rfam family "Bacterial small subunit ribosomal RNA", at positions 58 to 735 of the family's 1533-position model. The record is from RNAcentral. Lineage: Bacteria; Bacillati; Bacillota.
CAAGUCGAACGCGAAAGUCCCGCAAGGGAUAAGUAGAGUGGCAAACGGGUGAGUAACGCGUGGGUGACCUGCCUUCGAGCGGGGGAUAACGUUCCGAAAGGGACGCUAAUACCGCAUAACAUUCCGUCUUUGAAUAGAUGGCAAUCAAAGCUGGGGAUCGCAAGACCUAGCACUCGAAGAGGGGCCCGCGUCCGAUUAGCUAGUUGGUGAGGUAACGGCUCACCAAGGCAACGAUCGGCAGCCGGCCUGAGAGGGCGGACGGCCACACUGGGACUGAGACACGGCCCAGACUCCUACGGGAGGCAGCAGUGGGGAAUUGUUCGCAAUGGGCGCAAGCCUGACGACGCAACGCCGCGUGGAGGAUGAAGAUCUUCGGGUCGUAAACUCCUGUCGAAUGGGACGAAUGGGGUGGCGGGCGAACAGCCCGCAACCGUGACGGUACCGUUAAAGGAAACCCCGGCUAACUCCGUGCCAGCAGCCGCGGUAAUACGGGGGGGGUAAGCGUUGUUCGGAAUUACUGGGCGUAAAGGGCUCGUAGGCGGCCAACUAAGUCAGACGUGAAAUCCCUGAGCUUAACUGGGGAACUGCGUCUGAUACUGGAUGGCUUGGAUUUGGGAGAGGAAUGCGGAAUUCCAGGUGUAGCGGUGAAUGCGUAGAUAUCUGGAGGAACACCGGUGGCGAAGGCGGCAUUCUGGACC